This is a long non-coding RNA of Sapajus apella (tufted capuchin), 1625 nucleotides long. RefSeq lists it as uncharacterized. Lineage: Eukaryota; Metazoa; Chordata; Mammalia; Primates; Cebidae. The record is from RefSeq and is a predicted model, not a curated record. The transcript has 3 exons.
GAAAGAUCUGAGAUAGGAGAAAACCUUGAACAUGAACAUAUUUUCCUUUUGUUGAAUUUUAAGGCUGCUGCAGCCCUCACCCUCAUUUGUAACGACUUGUGGGUGUUUUCCUGAAACUGCAGAGAUUAGUUUACAUUUUCAACCCUUUAAAAAGUUGAAAGUUAUCCUUUCAACAUUGCCUGUGAAAACGUUUUCAUUUUUCUUUCAAUAGAAUCUACACAUCACUAAGAAAAUAUAGAGGGCAGCUAUAGCUCUAUAAGAAAACUGGCUAAGUAGAGGCCGAGAAGAAGAUAGCAAUAUUGAAGUUAGGUUCUUAGAUAGCUACUAAACCUAGCCAGCCAGAAACAUCAUCCCUUCUCAGAGAGCGUUGUGUACCUGAAGUACCGGGAUCUCAAAAUGCAUUUCUUAAUGUAGCUCCUAUAAAUUCAUGAUGAUGAGAGAAUACAAAAGAGACACUAUCCUGUCCAAGAAGAACUUACAAACUAAAUACACUUGAGAAUAACCCAAGAGACUUUAUGUUUCAAGAGAACAGUGAAGAUAUUUCCACUCCCUUUCUCCUCCUAGAAAUUAUUUUAAAAACAACAAGGAAAAAAAAUGAAAACACAAAAUCCAUCUUUGAUGAAACCCUGAAUCUUACUAUAUGAAGAGAGAAAGCAUAUGAAGAAAGGAGGGAAACUCCAGGAGAUCCAACAAAAACAGGAGCUACUGGCUGGAAGAACUUAAUGGAGGUGUUGCUGUUGCCUGCCUCAGGGGAGACAGUUUGGAGUCUGAGUCAGUUAAGGUGAAGAAGAACAAGAGCGGGAGAAGGAGGCAGAAGAGGAUGAAAGAAAGGAAGCUGUGAUGAGGGUAUGGGACUGAGAUUGAGACUUGUUUGAAAGUCUAUAUAAAGACAAGCGGCACCUCCCAGCUUCCCAUUCCCAUCCCGCUCAGCACAAUCAACAGCUCCCACUGCUACCCAUGGAGGAGUCAAAAGGUGUAGUCUCUGAAGAAAUGGGAACAAUCCCACAACUAGAAGACUCUAGUUCAAGAAGGUAAUUGACGAGGCGUGAAAGUAAAAACUGAGAAGUGAAGGGAAAGUCUGUGUGCUGAAAGUGAGACUCCCUACACAAUUUCAGAGCAACAGCAACCAGACAUAGUUGUACCCUUAAGGCUGGAGUCUGAAGUAUUACUUUUUGAAGAAGCCAAGUUACCCCAGAUUAAAGAUACUGAUAUUUCAGGUUCUCCAGUGAAAAAGGCCAUCCUGUUUCUCUACUGAGAAGCCCAUCAUUAACAAGCAACACACAACAACUGAGUUUCCCAUUAGUUUCCCAGUGCUUCAUCCUAAGUAUAAACAGAUAUUUGAAAAAAGCACUCUAGAGGAACAGGAGAGAAGAAAUGAAAAAGAUAACCUUGCUGGAAGAAGAAAUCGCAUUAAGAAUCAGAGAAAGAUAAUGAGAUGGUGCACUAAUGAAACACAAGUGGGAGGGCAUAUUAAAAAAUUAAAGAGUCAUCAUAGAUUAAUCACUCAUCAAAAUAAAAAAUAGUAUAGGUGAAAUUAAAAUUUUGGUUGAAAAAAAUUAGUAUGAGAAUCAAACUUGAGAAAUUUCCCAGAAACUAGAAUAAAAGAAUCAAGAGAUGAAUAAUAA